RNAcentral lists this ribosomal RNA (240 nucleotides) under uncultured bacterium. Its description in RNAcentral is "partial 16S ribosomal RNA". It matches the Rfam family "Bacterial small subunit ribosomal RNA", at positions 524 to 761 of the family's 1533-position model. The record is from RNAcentral.
UACGAAGGGGGCUAGCGUUGCUCGGAAUCACUGGGCGUAAAGCGCACGUAGGCGGCUUUCUAAGUCAGGGGUGAAAUCCUGGAGCUCAACUCCAGAACUGCCUUUGAUACUGGAGAGCUUGAGUCCGGAAGAGGUGAGUGGAACUCCGAGUGUAGAGGUGAAAUUCGUAGAUAUUCGGAAGAACACCAGUGGCGAAGGGCGGCUCACUGGUCCGGUACUGACGCUGAGGGAGCGAAAAGC